CGGGCAACAGUGCGAUGAAGGCCGCCUCGAGCGAAUCGCAGCCGGUGCGCGCGAGCAGCUCGGCGGGCGCGCCCGUCGCGAGCACGCGGCCCGCGUCCAUCGCGAUCAGCCAGUCGAAGCGUUGCGCCUCGUCCAUGUACGCGGUCGCGACGAUCACGCUCAUCGCCGGCCGCUCCGAGCGAAUGCGCGCGAUCAGAUCCCAGAACUGCGCGCGCGCGAGCGGAUCAACGCCGGUCGUCGGCUCGUCGAGGAUCAGCAGGUCGGGAUCGUGGAUCAGCGCGCAGCAUAGGCCGAGCUUCUGCUUCAUCCCGCCCGAGAGCUUGCCCGCGGGCCGCGACAGGAACGCAAAGAGGCCGGUGCUCCGCGUGAGCGCGUCGAUCCGGCGGCGGCGCUCGUCGGCGUCGUGGCCGAACAGGCGCGCGAAGAACUGCAGGUUUUCCUCGACGGAGAGCGUCGGAUACAGGUUCUUGCCGAGCCCCUGCGGCAUGUACGCGAUGCGCCGGCACACGCGCUCGCGAUGGCGGCGCGAGCGCAUGUCGCCGCCGAGCGCGUCGACCGCGCCCGUCUGCAGCGCGCGCGCGCCGGCCGCGAGCGCGAGCAGGCUCGAUUUGCCGACGCCGUCCGGCCCGAUCAGCCCGAUCGUGAGACCGGCCGGGAUCUCGAGCGUGAUCCGCUCGAGCGCGACGGUCUUGCCGUAGCGCAGGCUGACGUCGGAAAAACGAACGACGCUCGGCGCGCUCACUGCGGAACCUUGACCAUCAGUUGCGCGGGCCACGGCUUGCUCGGGUCGACGCGCACCCACGCGACGCCGGGCAGCCCGGUCUUCACGAGCUUCAGGUGCUUUUGCAGCAGCUCGCGAUCGAUGCGCGCCUUCACGCGGAACAUCAGCUUCUGCCGUUCGUUCGCGGUCUCGACGGUCUUCGGCGUGAACUGCGCGGUGCUCGACACGAACGACACGGUGGCGGGAAUCACGUAGUUCGGCGCGGCAUCGAGGAUGAUGCGCGCGUCGGCGCCGAGCGCGACCCGGCCGACGACCGUCUCCGGCAGGAAGAACGUCAUGUAGACGUCCGACAGGUCGACGAGAUUGAGCACCUUGCCGCCCGCCGGCAGCACUUCGCCCGGCUGCGCGACGCGAUACUGCACGCGGCCGUCGCGCGGCGAUGCGAGCUGGCUGUCGUCGAUGUCGGCCUGCACGCGGGCGACGGUGGCGUCGGCCGCCGUCACCGCCGAAUGCGCGGCGACGAGCUGCGCCUCGGUCGCCUCGAUCGCGGCCUGCGCGGCGGCCACCUGCGCGGCCGCCGCGGACACGGCCGCCUGCGCGCUGCGCGCGCGCGAUCGUCGUCGAGCUCCUGCAGCGACGACGCGCCUUCGCGCGAUAGCGUUUGCGAGCGCGCGAGCCGGCGCUCGGCCGCGUCGAGUUCG
RNAcentral lists this ribosomal RNA (1422 nucleotides) under Burkholderia mallei FMH. Its description in RNAcentral is "16S ribosomal RNA". RNAcentral also lists the same sequence under 1 other name. The record is from RNAcentral. Lineage: Bacteria; Pseudomonadati; Pseudomonadota; Betaproteobacteria; Burkholderiales; Burkholderiaceae.